RNAcentral lists this unclassified non-coding RNA (1368 nucleotides) under Hevea brasiliensis (rubber tree). The record is from RNAcentral. Lineage: Eukaryota; Viridiplantae; Streptophyta; Magnoliopsida; Malpighiales; Euphorbiaceae.
ACCCCAAUCUGCAGAUAGUUUAUGGAGUUUAUUCAUUGGUACAGAGCAUAAAAUUUAGCAUUUGAGCAAGCCUAUAUUACAAAAACUGUAACAAGAAACAACCUUAGUACAUCUAAAAGAAACAAGUCAUAACUGCCAAAAAAAUAGCAAAGAGCAUGAGAAUGGAAGACUAAUUAUCAAAACUGAUCUGAAGCAAACCAAUUGCUACAUAUCUCUUGAGUCUUUCCUCAAAAACAAAUGUGAAGCACCCAAUAAUGGUGUAGCUGAUUAAACUGUCUCCAUACAGCUUUGCAGAAUGCAGACAAAAUUACUGAGUCUAUAACAAUAGCAAUUUAGAAUAACAGAAACUUUGUGACUGCCUUUAAGGAGUCAAUAUUAAGUAACUAAGUUGUUUGGCCUGUGAGAAAUAGAUCUCAUCACAGGCCUAGGAUCACACCUGAUCCAAACCAUAAAAGGGUCCAGCUUAAGCAAUAAGUCCCCAGACCACAAAGGCUCAGUCAAUUACUCAGGCUGGGAUUUUUUUUAACAGGCCCAGCCUGCCCAUCAAAUGAAAGUGUGUAUUUCAUAUAUUCAUUUCUAUGCGCUGGCUUAGUCAAAAUACUUCGCAUAGAUUUUCAAGCCAAGCUCAGGCAUAAAUCAAAUUUCAACCUGAACCCAGCCCACCAAAUGAUUAGAUCAGCUAAACAUCAAAUGAAUUUAAAGAAGGAACAACCUUGAACUACUGUCAUCACAUAAAUGGUUUUUGUUCAGCUACUGAAACCAUCUCUAUUCUAAAUAUAUGCUAUCCUUUUAAGCUACAAAAAACUAAAUAUAAGCUAAAUAUGUGUUACCCUCUAAUAAUUGCCUUUAACCAAGGUCAAAAAGUGCUCUUCCUUCUAGUAUUAAAACGUAAGAUAAAAUAAAAACAUCAGAGGCCUUUGUGAGAAAAUGUCUGCAAGUCUACUUUUCACAUUAUCCAAAUGAAUGUUUAAAGUACUUCCACUAGACACUUGAAUUUUCUUUAAGAAAUAAAUAGAACACAAUUUUGAUAAAGUGAUGCCCUACCCAGUGCCCCAGCCACUUGGACUUAGCUCAGGUGGUUUGUGGAAGUGGGUGUUUUGUUAGAGAUCCUAAGUUCAAAUCUUCUCUCUCCUCUUGUCACUAGCGGAACCAGGGGGCCAUGGCCCCCAAAAACUUAUUUUAAGUAAAUAAAUAAACCAUAUUAUGGUGCUUACCUUUCCCAGUAUUGUGGCCUCCCCAAAACUUAAAAGUCAUAUAUGUUUUUAUGUAAGAUGCACAAAUUUUUCUUAUUUUAAUUUAUAAUUAAAAAUAUUUAUUAUUUAGUAAACAUGUUUUAUUUUAUUGUUGCUUAUUAAUUUAAAUAUAAAG